AGCUGUAGAACAAAUUUCGCGAGAUCUUUAUUAAAGGGCCUCAGCAUCGGGUGAUACCGCGAGAGCUGAUGCGCUUACGUAACUAAAAUGCGCGAACGGAAGUGGCGCGGAGUACGGCGGAAUAUUAAUGCGGUUGGUUGUUCAGAGACUAGCGGGAAAGAUUAAAAACUAAGGUUUCAACUCUGCUUAGUAAACUGUUUAAUGGCUCCGCGCCCUUUUCUGUCAGAGACCUGCGGACGGAUGGGCUAAUGUUGGACUAGGUUUUUGUGACGAAGCUUUUCAGUUUCACCCCUAAGCUAAACUGAACUGUUUCUUUAAGAAGCCUUGGGAAAUGUGUUUCCCUCAAUGCGGUGUAUGGAAGGAAGCGGUUGCUACUGUUACUUUGAGCCAGUCCCUGAUGCUAUGAGAGAUUCUAGAGAAAAUAAUACAGAGCGAGCCAACGCAUGUAACCUGAAUAACACUGUGUAGGCUGAGUGCACACGAACAGAAGUUAAUAUUAGGACUGAAAACUUAUAUACCUCAACAUGAGACUGGCAGAAUCUUACUGGCUGCAGACAUUCUUCUCUUUCAAGAGUUCCCUUUCAAUGACCUCAAUGUGAGACAGGAA
This is a long non-coding RNA of Ailuropoda melanoleuca (giant panda), 607 nucleotides long. RefSeq lists it as uncharacterized. The transcript is spliced from 3 exons. The record is from RefSeq and is a predicted model, not a curated record. NCBI's taxonomy places the organism in Eukaryota, Metazoa, Chordata, Mammalia, Carnivora, Ursidae.